This 434-nucleotide long non-coding RNA is filed under the name Ananas comosus (pineapple). RNAcentral describes it as "long non-coding RNA (ACOM_LNC023165)". Lineage: Eukaryota; Viridiplantae; Streptophyta; Magnoliopsida; Poales; Bromeliaceae. The record is from RNAcentral.
UUGGUGUUGCUACGACGGGUCGGACGCACCAUCUUAACAAGAGAGGAUAUCACAAACACGUAAAUGCAAAACAUUAACGAAAACUGUAAACAAUAAUCAAAUAGGAUCAAACACGCGCCUACUUUUUACCCAUCCUCACACGUCCUAAUAAACUCUCACAAUCCUAUACCUUAAAGUUACAAAAGAUUUUAAACCUAAUCUCUGAUACCAUUUCUUUGUCACGCCCCAAACCCGAGGCAUAACAGAUGCCACAUAUCUACUAAAUUAGUAAAUAUGCAAGGCUACAGAAUCAGACAAUUAACAUACAAAAGAUGAUCAUAAAAAUAGAAAUCCAAACUGUCGAAAGAUGAGGUCAACAAUUUAAUUUUAACUAGAAUCAAAGGAAUUCACAUAUAAGCAGAACUAUCAUUUAUUAUGCCAAUCAAACAAAAUUU